RNAcentral lists this ribosomal RNA (497 nucleotides) under uncultured bacterium. RNAcentral's name for it is "partial 16S ribosomal RNA". It matches the Rfam family "Bacterial small subunit ribosomal RNA", at positions 28 to 507 of the family's 1533-position model. The record is from RNAcentral.
GAUGAACGCUGGCGGCGUGCCUAAUACAUGCAAGUCGAGCGAACAGACGAGGAGCUUGCUCCUCUGACGUUAGCGGCGGACGGGUGAGUAACACGUGGAUAACCUACCUAUAAGACUGGGCUAACGUCGGGAAACCGGAGCUAAUACCGGAUAAUAUAUUGAACCGCAUGGUUCAAUAGUGAAAGACGGUUUUGCUGUCACUUAUAGAUGGAUCCGCGCCGCAUUAGCUAGUUGGUAAGGUAACGGCUUACCAAGGCAACGAUGCGUAGCCGACCUGAGAGGGUGAGCGGCCACACUGGAACUGAGACACGGUCCAGACUCCUACGGGAGGCAGCAGUAGGGAAUCUUCCGCAAGGGGCGAAAGCUUGACGGAGCAACGCCGCGUGAGUGAUGAAGGUCUUCGGAUCGUAAAACUCUGUUAUUAGGGAAGAACAAACGGGUAAGUAACUAUGCACGUCUUGACGGUACCUAAUCAGAAAGCCACGGCUAACUACGUG